AACGAACGCUGGCGGCAGGCUUAACACAUGCAAGUCGAACGGGUGUAGCAAUACAUCAGUGGCAGACGGGUGAGUAACACGUGGGAACCUUCCUAGGGGUACGGAACAACUCAGGGAAACUUGAGCUAAUACCGUAUACGUCCGUAAGGAGAAAGAUUCAUCGCCCCUAGACGGGCCCGCGUCGGAUUAGGUAGUUGGUGGGGUAACGGCCUACCAAGCCUACGAUCCGUAGCUGAUCUGAGAGGAUGAUCAGCCACACUGGGACUGAGACACGGCCCAGACUCCUACGGGAGGCAGCAGUGGGGAAGUCUUGGACAAUGGGCGGCAAGCCUGAUCCAGCCAUGCCGCGUGAGUGAAGAAGGCC
This 364-nucleotide ribosomal RNA is filed under the name uncultured bacterium. Its description in RNAcentral is "bacterial SSU rRNA". It matches the Rfam family "Bacterial small subunit ribosomal RNA", at positions 29 to 416 of the family's 1533-position model. The record is from RNAcentral.